GGUUGUGGUUUAGCGGUAGAGCGCUCACCUAGUACGUUUGAGGUGCUGGGUUCAAUCCUCAGCACCA
Molecule: transfer RNA, 67 nt
Filed under: Marmota monax (woodchuck)
Lineage: Eukaryota; Metazoa; Chordata; Mammalia; Rodentia; Sciuridae
Description: tRNA.Thr
Source: RNAcentral